AUUGAACGCUGGCGGCAUGCUUUACACAUGCAAGUCGAACGGUAACAGGCCUUCGGGUGCUGACGAGUGGCGAACGGGUGAGUAAUGCAUCGGAACGUGCCCAAUCGUGGGGGAUAACGUAGCGAAAGUUACGCUAAUACCGCAUAAGCCCUGAGGGGGAAAGUGGGGGACCGCAAGGCCUCACGCGAAUGGAGCGGCCGAUGUCAGAUUAGCUAGUUGGUAGGGUAAAGGCCUACCAAGGCCACGAUCGGUAGCUGGUCUGAGAGGAUGAUCAGCCACACUGGGACUGAGACACGGCCCAGACUCCUACGGGAGGCAGCAGUGGGGAAUAUUGGACAAUGGGCGCAAGCCUGAUCCAGCAAUGCCGCGUGUGUGAAGAAGGCCUGCGGGUUGUAAAGCACUUUCAGUGGGGAAGAACAGAUUCGGGUCAAUACCCCGGAGCCCUGACGUUACCCACAGAAGAAGCACCGGCUAACUCCGUGCCAGCAGCCGACGG
Molecule: ribosomal RNA, 496 nt
Filed under: uncultured bacterium
Lineage: Bacteria
Description: bacterial SSU rRNA
Rfam family: Bacterial small subunit ribosomal RNA
Source: RNAcentral